This 404-nucleotide long non-coding RNA is filed under the name Panax ginseng (ginseng). RNAcentral's name for it is "long non-coding RNA (PGIN_LNC002914)". Lineage: Eukaryota; Viridiplantae; Streptophyta; Magnoliopsida; Apiales; Araliaceae. The record is from RNAcentral.
UGUCGAAACUUUUUCUUCCACCGUCAAACGAAUUUAGCAUGCGAUUUCUUAUUUGAACGUAAACUCUAUCAUCAUAAAUAUAUCUAACCACAAGUAAUCCAUUGUAAAGCAACAAUUCAAUAAAUUUGCAAUUCACAGAAUUUACAAUUAGUUGCCGUAGAACAUAUAUAUGUAUAUAUAAUAUAGAGUUAACAUACGUUCAAAUUGCUUAUACACAGUCGUUGUUAAACACAGAAAUCGUUGUGGAAAUCCUAAGCUUCUCUCAAAUUCUCUCUCAAGUUCAUCUCUGAACUUCUUAGCUUUCUUCUCUUAGGUUUAGACUAGACAACUAACUAGAAUACGUAAAAAUAAAACUGAUAUAAUACUAAUACAUAUACUUAUUAGGAUAUCAGUUAUAUAAAAAU